Long non-coding RNA from Uranotaenia lowii, 579 nucleotides. RefSeq lists it as uncharacterized. The record is from RefSeq and is a predicted model, not a curated record. The transcript has 3 exons. Lineage: Eukaryota; Metazoa; Arthropoda; Insecta; Diptera; Culicidae.
AGAGGGCCAGUAUUAUUUUAGUAAAAAAAUUAUUGUAGUUUUCAAAUUUCAAGUUGGGUUUAUUAUUAAAUAAAAUCAAGGUUAUUCAAAUAACCGUGUUUUUUAACAGACGUCAAAAAGGAAACAAAAAUAAACAAAGAAGAAAAAUAAGCUAGCUGAAACGGGAUCAAACAAUACAAAUUGUGAGAUUACGAAUUUGUGCUUCAAAACAUCGAAUCUUCUGUCCCUGGAAAACAAUAAAGAACGAAAAUUUUGGUCACCGGAACUACUUCUGCCAGAUUGGUGCUCAGCCGAUGGAGCCGGUGUUCCUAACCUCCGUUGAAAGACCUUUGAAAAGUUCACGGUUGGGCGGGAAAUCCACCCCAAACGCAAAGUUAGUCAUGAUAUUCUUCAAUCUGACUCCAUUAUCAAGCACUCCCAACGAGCUCUGGAACCAUCGCUGCGGGACCCGUAACAGACGGAUAACGAAUAUUUUCCGGGCAAAAUUUCUUCUGGAAGCAGCAACAUGAUUCUCGAAUUAAGAAAAUGCAUAUUGUGAUUUGUGUCAUUUAAAUUGUGAAUAAAUAUUAUUAAAUAGUU